GGGGGCGAAAAGGUCUCGACCUGGGUAAGGACGAGAGAGGUAGCAUGCCGAGGUUGCAAGGUGGCCUCGUAAAAAACCUUGCACUAUUUAAAUGCUGAUGAAACAACAGUAGUUGCUCAAGCGGAAGGAAUUCUUGCUGGAGUAGCUUAAUCAGACAAAAGUCCUUGUUGGUUAAUCCCAAUGAGGCCUUCAUCCAGAGAGUCUGCGCUCUGGAUGUAUGAAUUUAGCAGACUGGUUCUUGUUAUGCCUCUUAGACAAGAGCGAGAUUUAAAGAGGCUGGCCUUUCUUUAUCUUGUCCAUUGGAGAAAGAAAGGUAAGAUUAAAUAAUAGACUAAGCAUGUAGUGACCCUUUUGAAUUUACUCAGGGACCGGGGUUCGAUUCCCCGCGCCUCCACCA
Molecule: transfer-messenger RNA, 397 nt
Filed under: Candidatus Omnitrophota
Lineage: Bacteria; Pseudomonadati
Also listed under: 1 other name
Description: JAHJTE01 sp018830005 Standard tmRNA
Rfam family: transfer-messenger RNA
About the family: Bacterial tmRNA, also known as 10Sa RNA or SsrA, is named for its dual tRNA and mRNA-like properties. Its role is to liberate the mRNA from a stalled ribosome.
Source: RNAcentral